This 6178-nucleotide long non-coding RNA is filed under the name Capsicum annuum. RNAcentral's name for it is "long non-coding RNA (CANN_LNC019137)". Lineage: Eukaryota; Viridiplantae; Streptophyta; Magnoliopsida; Solanales; Solanaceae. The record is from RNAcentral.
UCAAAUAAAAAUGUUUAUGUUGAUUGAUUUUUGAAUCAGAAAUUGAAGACCCCACAGAAAAUCUGAAAGCCCCAAUGUACCUUCUGUCUAUAAAUAUUCACUUUGGAGUUCAUUUAAGGAAAGGUUUUCGUGGCUUCCAUCUCUCGUAAGAGCUUCAGCAAUAUCUUUUUUAAGCUUUCAAAAAUAACAAGCCUUUUCACUCUUCUCCUACACCAUAUUAACUAUUAUUUUGCUAUUAACAAAUCUGUUUUUUGCAUUCUAGUUCAGUCUUAAUCGAGACUCUCCCUUUGAGUGUGUUUCAAGCUCAUGCUUCUCGAGUUCAAGCCUAGACCGCUAACCAAAGCACUACCAUUCCCUGCCCUACAAUAGGUGACAUUCCUUCCCUUAUCUAUCCUCGUCUAUGAUAAAUGUCAUCCUUAUUUUUAAGAAAAAUUAUGUCUUGAAAGCAUUUUCACUAAAAUUAAUGUUAAGGGAUGUGCUUGGUUUUAUUCUUUUAGUAGCAUUCAGUAAUACAUGCCUUCAGGGGUAAUUGAAAACGUUGUUUAGAGUUUUCCAUGAUAUUAUUUUAAUUCCAAGUUAUAUGGUGUCUUUGUAUGCUAGUAAAUCUACAGCUCACACUGGAAUAUGUUUAAUGGAGGUGAUUUCAUUAUGUUGUUUAGUUAAAAACAAUUUUGCAGACUAGUGCUUUCCCUAAUAAUAAAAUAUAAAGACCUCAUAUUUCUUGCCUGUCGACAUGCUUUGUAAUUUUACUCUAUUUUAUUUACUUUAUAAAAUAUGAGCUCUAAGACUUUUUCCAAUCCUAUUGGUAGUUAUAUGAGUUUUAAAUUUCCUUCUAAAGUUUAAAUAAUCGACGUGUAUAAAAUAUCUAAAAAUCUAAGUGUGAUUUUAUUCAUGCUUUAGAAAAGUACCAUCUUUAUAGUUCAAAUCUAUCAGGGUUGAGUAUUACUUUUAUGGCUAAAAGACAUGUUUCGUUUAACCAUUUUGAGUUGGUUCUAUUGUUAUUUGGCUCGGUAUUUGGCAUGCCCCGUCUUUUGAAUAUUAAUUCAUUUGUGAGACUUUACUUGAUUUUUAUGUAAAUUGAAUAAUCUUUCUAGUUCCUUUAUUCUCUCUUUCAUAUACAUGAAUACUUUGGAGCAAAAAUGGAAUUUUAAUUUCAGAACUCCUGCAAAAUCUUGUCUAUGAGACUCGAUACAUCAUCAUAUCCACAUACGGAGUUGUCGUGACAUCUUAGAUUAUCGAAUAGCACAACAAGCAAGCAUAUCUUGCUCGGAAUUGUCUUCGACAGCUUAUAUAAUAGCAUUUAUACACUCUAAUUUUUAUUUACAUUGUAAUUUGUGUGUGUGACUAGGAUACAUUUAGUUUUCUUUUAAUAGAUAUAAAUAAUAUAGGAUAGGUGAAUAGUUAUGAUCUGUGCUCUUGGUGCCUGUCUUAGUUGUUAGUUUUAGUGACUUUCAUAUCCUAUAUGCUAGUAACAUUCCACUAUUGACUUUUUCUAUAAAAAAAAAAGAUCAACAAGCAUUUUUAGAUAAAGUUGUUCUAAAAUAUUUCCAAACUAUGCUAAUUAUCCGGUAGCAGUCAUCAGAUUUUAUUUCAUUUUCUUUGAGCCUUAAGGUAUUGGACCAUUAGUCUUGUUUCAAGCAAAUGCCAAUCUUUUGUUAAAUCUUCGUCCUUCUAUUGUUUUAAGAGAGUUUUCAUGUCGUUUUCUUAGUUACUCGACUUUUCAAAUUUCUUAGUACUCAUUUUUAUAAAUUAACUUAACUUUGUUCAGUUAGUCAUAGUUAGCGGAUCCUUUAAGUUGCUUAAUUCCUCCUCUUUUAAAUAAUUAGAACCCUUGCCUAGAAUCACUUAUGUUAAGUAGACCAUAAAAUGAUGUAUUUAUUUUCUUAUAAUCAAUUACUUUUAUAAUAGAUGUCCUAAUUCACUGUUGAACUUAUUAGGCAACGACUUCCUUAAUUUACAUAGAAGUUUCCAAUAUGUUCUACCUCAAUUUGACCCAUGUUAAAAUAGGUAACCUUUUUGAACCUCUUCAACACCAAAACUAGAGCCUUAACUUUCCAAUCUACCAAAUCAGCUACAAUAAUAAGCGGCAAAGUGUUGUUGGGUCUUUGCUCCAAAACUGGGGGCUCCUCAAUAGAAAGCUGAGAUAGAUGAGUCACUCUAUUUUUCAAAUCACGAUCUAACUCUUUAGUGCAUACAUAUAUGAACCCCUACCUUCAAGUGCGCUAACUAUCUCAUAAUAGCCAUUAAUGCAAUAACCCUUGAAAUUUAUAAUGAUUGUUGCAAAGGACUCAAUGCAUGGUCUUUCCUCAUUAGGAGCUACCAAGUUAUCCUUGUCAAUGGUAUCUAUCAUAAAGCUUACACACAUAUUAUUUGGCUGCUUCAUCGAUAGGCAUACAUUAAAAGUUGUUUAUUAUUAAACUUGAACUUCAUCUGCGCAGUUUCCAUAUCAGCCUCAACCAAUGCAUUCCCAAUUUCAUCUAAAGGUCUUCCCAAGAUAAUGGGGACCUCAAAGUAAAACUCACGAUUGAGGAUGACAAAAUAAGCUGGAAAGAUGAAGGAUGCAACCCUCACAAAAACAUCACAUAAAAUACCCACAGACUUUUUCCCAGUGUGUUCCACCAUGAAAAGUCUAGUUUAAGUCGAUUUGGGUGACCCCAAUCCUAAUUGUUUGUAAACUGCUAGUGGCAUCAAGUUAAUGGUGGUCCUUAAAUCACACAACUCGUACAAAAAGUUGAACCACAUAAUAAUGCAUAGAAUUGUGAAUUCUCAUAGGUCUUCUUUUAUCUAAACCAAUGAUCUAGAGGUUAUUGCACUACAAUAGUGCACAUUGUCUAUGGGUUCAAAACUCACCAUCCACUUCUUAGUAACUAAGUUCUUCAUAAAUUUCACGUAACGUAGAAUUUUUUUAAGUGCCUCAACUAGAGGGAUGUUCACUGUUAACUUCUUCGGCAUAGAAAUAAACUUUUGGUACUUUGCCUCUUCAACUUCCUUUUUUAGUCUUCAUCAAAAAGAAGGAUGAGGCCGUGGAAUGGGAUUCAAUAAUUAAAGGACUUCUUUGUCCUUACUCUUUAUUGUGUUGGACUCGUGAUCAUCAACUUAAGGUUUGUUAACUGCACUCUUUGCUAUAUAAAGGUUUGAUGAUGAGCAGCUAAACUAAAAAGGACCAUGUUGCUGGAUGUGCAAGGUACAGUACAACUGAAAUGCAUUAUCUGCACAGUUUUAUCCUCUUGUGUAACAAACUUGUAGGUGCUAUUUUGUACUGAUUAGAAAAGCUGGUCCAGUAAUCUUCCAACCCUAAUAAUCACUCAUCUAUAAUAGAAAAAAUAUACCUUUUCAUCAAAUGAUUUUUUGAAAUUACAAAGAUAAAAACCCUAUUUCAACACUGGUCAUGUUUUUAGCUUUAUGAGUACUUAAAUAGAAAUUAUUCUUGAGUAAGUUCUAAUUUGCAAAUGAAUUACUCGUGUUAUAAGAAUAAUUCAUUUUUAUCUGUGAGUUGAGAGUUCUUAGGUAAUGUUACCUAAAUGUGAGACUAAUUAGAGUUAAUCAGUAGAGAGGGACCUUAGUAGAGUUACCAAGAUGAUCUUGUAGUGAAGUUGCUACUAGAAAAAAGAGCAUAGAGUUAGGCUGAAAUAUAGAUUGUAAUUAAGAGGUUGAUAAUACUGGAUUUAUUUGGUGCUUGUGAGGGAAAUCCUUGGUUUUUCCCUUUCUAUAUUUCCACAUAAAAAUCUUGUGUUUUUACUCUUCCUGCAUUGUCUCUUACUUCUUGUUUAUUUUAUGUACUUUGUAUGUGAUUAAUUUUGAGGCACCUGGUACCUCACUAUGUGGUGCAACACUCAGGGUUUCAAUAAUUGUUAUCAGAUAUAGGUUACUCUAAAAGGUUCACACCUAGAGUGUCUUGGUUAGCAUGACUACUCCACCUAAUCUAGAAGAAAGGAAAACUACUACUAGAUCACUAAUAUUCAAUGGGCAUUAUAAUGGGUGGUGGAAAACUAGGAUAUUUGACUUCAGUAUAGUUGAAGAUAGUGAACUGAUAGACAUAAUUCUUGAUGGACCUUAUGUUUUCAUUAAGAAAGUCAAAGAAGAAGUAAUAACUAGAAUGGUUUUUAAAAGCAGGAGAGAGUAUAUGAUGAAGAUAGAAAGAAAAUUGCAAAGAAUUACAUGGCCAAGAAAUAGCUAGUUUGGGGUAUAGGGACUGAUGAAUAUAACUGUAUCUUAUCCUGUGAAAAUGCUAAAGAAAUCUGGAAUUGCUUGAGGAUUACUCAUAAAGGCACGACUGAUGUGAAAGAUUCUAAAGUAGUCAUGCUAACCAGUUAGUAUGAAACCAUCCAAGAAAUACAUACCAGAUUCACUUCUAUCACAAAUAAGUUUCACUGCUUAGGAGAAGUGAUUCUAUUAUAUAAGCAAGUGAGAAAGAUUCUUCGUGUUCUUCCUAAGUCCUGAAAAACAAAGUGGAUGCAAUAAAUGAGGCAAGAAAUAUGAAGAUCCUCACCACAGAUGAGCUCAUUAGUAAUCUAAAGACCCAUGAGCUUAAGAAAUUCAGAAGAGCUGGGAAAGAAAGAAAUAAAAAGGGAAAAAUCCCUUUAUUUGAAGCCCUCAAAACAUUAUUCAAGCGAAGAAGAUACAGGUGUUUCCUAUUUUUCAAGUAGGAUUUUUAGAGCCAUAAAGAUGAGUGGUCAGUUCCAAAAAAAGGAAGCAGCAGCAAAAAAGAAAGUAGCAUGAAGGUAUGUCACAAAUGUGAAAGUCCUGAGCAUUUUAUUAAGGAGUGUCUAUUGCACAUAGUAGACUACACGGGAUACCUUAAGACUAGGGGUGACAAAGGAAAAAAUAGGGACUAGGUUCCUAAAAAUUCUAAGAGCAAGGUAAUAGUUGAGUUUGCUGUAAAGCAAUCUCUGGCAGUAUAGGGAGACUCCUCCAGUGAUUUCGGUGAAGAUUAGAAGACUGGAGAUAUUUUUAUACUAGAACUGGAAGCCAGUCCAAUAAUCUAUGAUUCUUUGUUUGCAUUCAUGGAAACACAAAAGAUGAAAAAGAAAAAGAGGUAACUCUUUCUAAUAAUAAGGAGAAUCUAGAUAAUUAUAUUUCUAGGAAGAUUAAAAGGCUUGCAAAUAUGUAUAUAUAUUUUGUAUGUAAACUAAUUGCUGAGAAAAAUGCCUUAGAUGAAAAAGUAGAGAAUCAAGAGCAUAAAUUAAUUGCCUUAACUCUUCAUAUAUAUGAAAUUGAAGAAAUUGUCACUAAAUUAAAGUCUAAAAAUCUAAAUUUUAUAAGUCAACUAAAGAAGGUAGAUGAUGUAGAUGUUAAAAAAAAGAUGGAAGCCUCAAGGAUUUAGAUUAAUAUUGGGAAAAAAUUGAAGGCUUCCUAAAAAUAACUUAUGUCAGUGCUUCACAUAAAUGAAAUGUUAGAAAGGGACUUGGUCUGUUUGAGAGAAGAGCUCAGCAAGACUCUUAGAUGGACUGAUUUUUCAUAGAUACUUUCUAAUUAAAUAUUUGAGGAGUUACUAAUGGUAAAGGUCUGGGAUAUUAAGGAGGAUUUCAAUCUGUUGAUUCUAAAGAAAAGGUUGCUCUUGAUGAUAAAGGCAAAGGGCACAAACUCAUAUGCGCUCACUGUAGAAGAGAUAGACAAUUGAAAGAUAGAUGUCAACACUAGCUUAAUGAAAAAUUAAGGAAUAUUGAAUACAUUCAGUAGGACAAUGCACAUCCUAAGGACUUCAAGUCUCCAAAAAGGGUAAAGUGAAAUCUAUCACUACCUAGAUAAGGUAAGAAUAAUUUGAUCACACCAUUAUUCUCCUAAUGGGAACACAAAAUUAAGUAGGUUCUCAAAUCCAACUUGUGAUAUUGAUUCCAUGCAUAGGAAAGGGAUUAUAGUUAAGAAUAGCUUAUUGAUUAAAGGAGUUCAAAGCUUAAGUGAUGAAUGGUCUAAUUAUGUUCUCUCUCUCAAGACAUUUUAAGAUAGAUAUAUCUCGCUUUGAAAUGGAUAAUUUCAAGGGAUCAGGUCCCUACGAAACCCAUCAUAAAAGAAGAAGCUUCAGCAGAAUAAAUAACAUUUGAAUUAGUGUCUCUUCCAAAAUUUGGCUAUGUUUAGGAGAUAGGUAUCCAUAAUAAUAUAGGUGUAUGUUAAUCUGUCUCAGAUCCUUACUGUUGCAGGUAUACAUCCAUGGGAACAACAUAGGAAGAGAACAAUUAAA